This 659-nucleotide ribosomal RNA is filed under the name Penicillium sp. RSL9(2). Its description in RNAcentral is "SSU rRNA". It matches the Rfam family "Eukaryotic small subunit ribosomal RNA", at positions 797 to 1478 of the family's 1831-position model. The record is from RNAcentral. Lineage: Eukaryota; Fungi; Ascomycota; Eurotiomycetes; Eurotiales; Aspergillaceae.
CGCUUUUUUCCCCUGGGAUAAUGGAAUAGGACGUGCGGUUCUAUUUUGUUGGUUUCUAGGACCGCCGUAAUGAUUAAUAGGGAUAGUCGGGGGCGUCAGUAUUCAGCUGUCAGAGGUGAAAUUCUUGGAUUUGCUGAAGACUAACUACUGCGAAAGCAUUCGCCAAGGAUGUUUUCAUUAAUCAGGGAACGAAAGUUAGGGGAUCGAAGACGAUCAGAUACCGUCGUAGUCUUAACCAUAAACUAUGCCGACUAGGGAUCGGACGGGAUUCUAUGAUGACCCGUUCGGCCCCUUACGAGAAAUCAAAGUUUUUGGGUUCUGGGGGGAGUAUGGUCGCAAGGCUGAAACUUAAAGAAAUUGACGGAAGGGCACCACAAGGCGUGGACCCUGCGGCUUAAUUUGACUCAACACGGGGAAACUCACCAGGUCCAGACAAAAUAAGGAUUGACAGAUUGAGAGCUCUUUCUUGAUCUUUUGGAUGGUGGUGCAUGGCCGUUCUUAGUUGGUGGAGUGAUUUGUCUGCUUAAUUGCGAUAACGAACGAGACCUCGGCCCUUAAAUAGCCCGGUCCGCAUCUGCGGGCCGCUGGCUUCUUAGGGGGACUAUCGGCUCAAGCCGAUGGAAGUGCGCGGCAAUAACAGGUCUGUGAUGCCCGUUGAG